GUGAGACUCGGCCUUGAUUGACUAUUGAAAAAGAUUUCCUUAAUACAGGUGCAAAUUCUGGGGUUUGUACUAUAGUGACGAAAGCAAAGCCCAGUUCUUGUCUAAUCUCUAAAGAUCGGGUUCCGCUAUGGAAGCUUUAUCAUUUACGGCAGCCUAUAAGUAUAAGGAAGGAGAACGGGGAACUGAACUGGCCAAUCCGGCUGUGCUUUCCGGGCUGUCCAUUCCCUACCUUAUGAUUUUGCAGUAGUCCAAGCCUUGCCCAAGCUUUUCAUUCUAGUCCGUCACUGGCAUCCAUCAAGUCAAUAAAAUCUCCGUCUUGCUUGGUGAUUUCCUUCUGUCUUCAGUCAGCCAAUCAAUCCAUCAAGUCAAUACACUCUCUGUUCUUCUUGGUGAUUUCUUUCUGUCUUCAGUCACCCAAUCAAUCAGUCAGCGAAUAAGCCUUUUGGUGCUUGACGACCUCUCACCGUGGCCGCAUUCGGUCCUGUCUUCCAUGUAGUAUUUUUUCUGUUGUCGGUCAAUUGUAUUUUGAAUUCGUCUUUGUUCAAGUCCCAAGCUCUUAGUCCGUACGCCCUCUAGCCCUAUUUCAAACUCUCUCUUAGCGAGUCCUUCAGUUUUUUGAAAAAGAUCGUAGAAUAGUCUUUGACUGAGAUUGAGUCUGCUUGCAGGUAUCUUCCCAUUUCCCUAUUCCGCAGUUUUCCCUUUCACAAAUGGCACAUCAAAUGAUGUAUCAACCAGCAAGUUGUUAAAGGCCAACGCGAACAAUUCUCCCAAGAUGGCAGCUAAGAGAUGCCAUUAAGAAGUAAGACA
This 807-nucleotide long non-coding RNA is filed under the name Nicotiana benthamiana. RNAcentral describes it as "long non-coding RNA (NBEN_LNC004866)". The record is from RNAcentral. Lineage: Eukaryota; Viridiplantae; Streptophyta; Magnoliopsida; Solanales; Solanaceae.